ACUAAAAUCUGACUUAUUUCCCAUGCAUGUGCAUUUGUAUAUAUAUGUACAUAUGCAUAUAUAUACAAGUAGGAAAUAUACAGCUGUGUAUAUUUCCUAUUUAUAUCAAUUGAGGAACAUAAAUACGAAUCAUAUUUUAUACAGAUAAAAUAAAAACAUGGAGAUCAAAUUCCAGCAGCAAAUAUUUCAUAAUAUAAAUGAAUUUUGGCUAGAAGAAAAAUAUUAGGAUCUAGAAAAAGUAAAACAGCCAGAAAAUUCAAUAAAAUGUAUAUAAGUACUUUAUGAAUAGCAAGCUGUUGUUAAAAUAUAAAAAAGAGGCACUAUUCCAGCCUUUGAUAAUUUUAUAAGAAUAGAAGAACCCAAAUGCAUUAUAUAUAAUAUAUCAUGUAAUAUUUACAAAAAUAGAAGAACUCAAAAGCAUUCUCUGGCUUUGACAUGGGACUUUUUUUUUUUUUUUUUUUUGCCUGCAUUUCCACUCCAGAGAAUGAUGGGGUCAACCGCUGAUGACUAUGCUUAUCACCAGAUUUCUGUGACAACAAAACUUGAAUUUUGUUUUCCAAUACCCUUGUCCACUUAGCUUUGAUUGUAAGGAAAAAUUGUUGGUGACUGUAAGGGCACAAAUGUUAUAUCUUUUUGCAGUAUAAAUUUUGUUUUACCUCAGGAUGAGAGCAGACACUUGUCUCUCCAAUGUUUUCAUAAAUUUAUACCAUUUGUCAUAGAGCAGAAACAAAAGGAUAAAUAGGAAUCAAUGAAAAUCCAUAUGUAUUACUGGUAAUAUAACUCAGGGCAGAAGUUCUGUUGCUCAUGUUGGGAAUGGUAUUCUCAGGUCGGAGGGCAGCAUUGCUGUGAAUUCUGAUCCAGGAAGACUGGGAGCUUCAAUUUCUGCACACAAGAGAGUCAUUUUGGCAGUGUUGGUGGACAGGAAGCCACAUCUAUCACCAAGACGUAAGAGUUCUUUCCGUUUUGUACACAUGCUUGAAAGGAAAAUUCUAGAGAUGUCACUGAACAUCUCGGUCCUUCUCCAUGAGUUUGCACAUAGUAUUUUCAGAAGCAGUUUUAUAGACCACUUCCUAAUUUUGUAUUUCUUUUCUAGAACAUUGAUUUUAUCAGGCAGCACUCACAUUUUCUUAACUGCCCUGCUAACUGAUUUCUUUAUGCAAGAGUGUGUGCUACAGAAAGGCAAAAAUUUCCUGGCCAAGUGACCAGAACUCAAACUAGAGUAUAGAAAAAGUAUGACAAAAUGCUUUCAUUAUUAAGAAAACUCAGUGCAUUUUGCAUUAAAAUAACUGACUAUAUCUUAGGAAAUGGAGAACAACCUAGAUAAAGUGUAAGAUUGUUAUUUUCUAGCUCAGGAAGAGCAGAACAAUCAAUAUUCAUAAUGAGCAAAACAAAAACCACAUCUAUAAAUCUUUGAAAAUGAGCAGGUCAAGUAACAUGAGUCUUGUCUUUCAAAACUCAUUGCAUUUAACAAAGUCAGGAAUGAUUAAAAGUUGUGAAAUUUAUUUUAAAAUCAUACCAACCAUACCACAUACUACUUUAACAAACAAUUUAGAAACAUUUCUUAAAUAUCUUAAUGCAUGUCACAAAUCUAUUAUGGGCAGGAUAGAAUUCUUUCCCAAUGACUCUACACUGAUUUUCAUAGUGAUGUAAUAGGAAAGCCCUGGUAAAGAUGCCUAGGACAGUUCAAGAAAUCAGCAGGGAAACAGGGGCCAAUUGUUAGCAGCUCUGAGUCGAUGUUUGUCAUCACUUCACCAGCAGUGUCUAUCCAGAACUGAGCUACAAGCUCCAGGAACUCUGCAUUGAGACCGCCAGGGUCUCCAGAGAAUGCCCUGCCAUCAGAGGGAGCACAAUCUACCUGCCACAUGGGAGACUUUUCUUAGCAGGAUACCAAAGAAAAAUCCUCAAUAGCCAGAAUUCUCUGCAGAGAACCCAGCCAACAGUAACACGACUAUCUUCUGAAAAAUCCUCAUGACAUAGUAUUUUAGAAUAUGAUUGCUGUUAGAAGCCCCAGUAGUACUGUUCUACUUAAAGUUUUUCAGAGGUAAAAUAAUUCUUGCAUAAUGUCCACAAUCACAGCAUAUACUUGAUUCUUUGGUGUUUUCUUCAACCUGUUUUGCAGGUACAGAAAGAGAUGAAGGAGUUGAGUUGCUCAUAGUCAUAUAGCUAUCUCUAGAGAUUUGUGAUUUAUUUCACAUUUAUUAAUUAGAAGCUCAAAUGUGAAAUGUUUGACCCCAUGACCAAUAUUUUACAGGAUAAAGAGAUUCAUAUUCAUUGGGGUAUAAAAGAUGCCAUGCUAUUUGGCCAUAUCAUAGUUGAUUUGAUGAAGUAAAAUGAAAGUAGUCAUGGAGUUUUGCAUUUCUUUAACCACAUAUUCAUACUUUGCCUAAUUAAAAAGAGAAGUAAAUUCAUAAUACCACCUAAUAUCCAUUAGCAGAAAUACUUCUUUGAGCAUGGAUUGGGUGUCUAGGUCUCCAAGUCUUAUAUUUUCCACCUUCCAAUUAACUCCCAUUAAAGUCCUGCUGAGACUAAAAAAAAAAAAAUACAGAAAGGAGUCCUGAGUAAACAAAUGUAGAAAUCAUGCUUUGUAUAAUUAUCCAAAGUCCUUUGUCUUUUGCUUGUAAGGUACAAUAUAGAAAAGGCUCUUGGCAGAUAUCUAAGAGUUUUUAUGAGUGAUGUCGCGAUCUACUGAACAAAGACACAUUUGUCGAGUUUCAGAUUCAGACGCUGGCUUGGCUCUUCAGAGGCCGGUCAUUAAGUGUUUGUUCUUGGGGAUGGACAAGACUAGUUUGAAAACUUCCUAAUGCUUUUACAAGCCAUUUGCCAUAUAUUAUGAAGUACUGCUCGUGUAGUGCGUAAGAAACAAUACACGUAUGUCACUAAAAAGGCAAGCAAUCUUAGAAAGACAGCAUGCCUGGGAAACAGAAACAUUUGCAAAACCUAGAUUAGAUUGCACAAUUUGAAGAUGAAGAAAUGAAUUCCUUAGCAUAUCUAGAAAGGCAACAUGGGCAGUAUUAUACGGUAGACUGUGUAUAGUUUAUAACCUGUAGACAGCUGCUGCCUGUUGGUAUUGGACAAGUUGCUAAAAUCUCCCAACCUCCAUUAAUUUUCAUGAUGGGGGAAGCAAUUCUAGCAGCCUUGAAAGCUAAUAAGAAAAUCAAUUAAGAUUGUGUCCUAAAAGUGCUUUGUCAACUAAAAUUCUACAUAAAUGAGAAUACUACUAAAACAAUAUAAUGAUCAUCACAGUAACAGUAGCAACUGAUAUUUAAAUAGUUACCCUAUGCUAAACACUAAACUAAGGCCUUCUAUGAGUUUUCUUGCUGGGUUGAACAUUUUAUUAACUUCAUGUUCCAAAAUAGGAUAUUGUGAAACUUAGAUUGAAUAACUUGACCAAGGUCUGUUUGGUACCCAUAAUUUUAGUUUAACCUCUGAACUGAAUUUUGCCUUGCUUAUUAUAAUGAUAAUGAAAGCCAAUAAUUCAUUUAGGAAUGAUUGUUUUAUUUUUAUAUAUUUCAUUAAGGUAAUUACUGCUAAUAUUUUACUGACUAGUUUAACCACUAGCUUGCCAUUAUUUAAUACAUGUUCUCUAUGUGCAGGAUACUCAUAAAGUUCUAAGGAAAUAAUUAACAAAACACAAAAUUAAGAUUUGUUUCUAGGGUUGCAGAACUUGUGUAAUGAAGGCUAGAGAACACUUAAGCAAAGUGACAACUAAUACAAAUUUAUGUAUGCUGAAUUUUAUGUAAUCAAUUUCUGAGAAGUAGAAAUACAAAAUACUCCAGCAAUAAUAUACUCUUACUCCUUAAUUUCAUAAUUCCUAUUUUCUCUUUCUUUUAUUUAAUUUCUUUAUUAUAAAUAUUUCUUGGGUAGUAGAACUAUCAGUUGGUCUGUAGAUCUGUGAGGAUUCUAGAACAACCCUGUCUAUUAGCCAAAUAUAUCUAUUUAAACAAUAUUUAAAUUAAUUAAGAUUGAAAAAUCUUAAAGCUGCUUGUCUCUCACAUGAAUCAUAUAUUCAGUGUUCAGCAGCCAUUUCUGGCCACUGGCAAUCACAUUGGAAGGGAAGAUAAAUUUCCAUCACUGCAGAGAGUUGUAGUGAGUGCUGCUCUAAAGCAUAAAAUUGACACUCUUCCUCUCCUGUGAUUUGGUGGAGCCUAGAAGACUUUCAAGUCCUAAAUGAAAGAGAAUUUAUAGGGAUUUUUAGGGUAGAAACUUGGAAAGAGAAGGAAUUUUUUAUUUUUCAACAGAAUAGAUGAUCAAAGCAUCAAGGCUUGGGCAGUUGUGUUAACCAGACAGACUUUCUGGUGCUAACUGGGAUGUACUCAUCAGAGUUUGUGACUUACACAGAGAGUGAAUGAUAUGAGAAAGAAUGAGCCACAACUCCAACCAGAGCACUCAGAGCCCUUCAGAGACGGCCCCUUAGGUACAUGAAAUGGCCCAAACAAAGGCAUAGUGUCUUGACAGGGUCUCCUUACUUGGUCAUGGUGAGAGGUGAUUUCAGUCUAAUUGAAGCUUCAAAAGAGAAGAAGGUGGAAAAAUGGUGUUGGGGAUUAGAAACCAGGAAGAAACUGCAAUAGACCUUAUAUUCUCCAGCAUGUUUUAUUUGGUGUAUCCAUCAGGACACACAGGGAAACGUCAGAAGUCCUCAAGCCAGUGAGUGACAUGACUGACUUAAAUUCAUUUUUCAGGAAGAUAAUUAAGGUAGCUAUGGGAAGAAACUUAGAGUGGAGAUCAACUCCUGGAUUUUUUCUUGUUAUUAUUAUUGUGUUCUGUCAAUCACAAUCCCUUAUAGUUCAAAAUAAAAGCAACUUAUAAAAGAUCUAUUCAUUUUCCCACAUUAAAGGAUAAAGAUACUAAAAGGACAAAUUAAUACUUUGUCAAAUAUGCCUUGGUAAAAGACUAUUAGGAUUGCCUGAAAAAUUCAGUUAUCAUUUACUAAAUAAAUAACAAAGGUUUUUGAGAGAAAACAAAGCCUAUUCUUGGUGGGUAUAUUUAUUUUUUAUAGUAUUGAUUGAUUUUGUAAAAUUAUACAGUUAAAGCUUUGGAAUAAUGUACAGGUAUCAUAGUGGGAAUAAAAUGGAAAGAUAGAUGAAAUACCAAAGAUAGGAAGAGGUCAGAAUGAGUCAGGGCACCCUCACUGGGCUAGUGUUUGGCUUGUUUUGAAAGAUUUGAUAAAAGGAGAGACUGGGUCCCAGAGGUUCUGAACUCUAUCUAGCCAGGUGCAAGACCCUGGCCCCACACUCCUGAGGUCUGUCCUAGUAAGCCAAAUGGAUUUUGGAGGUUCUGAAAUCCACUCAGCCAGGCCCAAGGCCCUGGCCCAGUGCCACACUCCAGGGGUGCAUCCCUGCUUGCUGAAUAGAGAAUUUGAGCUCUGCCCAACCCAAUGUCCCAGAGCAAUCAAUCUAGGGAAUGCUUGGCCAGCCAUACAGUCUCCACAAGUUCUGAGCCCUGCCCAGCCCAGAGCCCUGGGGCCUACUAUCAGAGAGUGAACAGCCUAACCAAGAGGUCCUAAAGAUUUUGAGCUCUGUCCAUCACAGCACAAGACCCUGGUGCUAUAGUUCAGGGUUUCGCAUAGUUAGCCACUUCAGUGAGGAUCAAAGUUCUGCUCAACCCAGAAGCCCAGUGCGAUCCAUAGAGAAGGUGGCUGGUCAGCCUCACAGGUCCCAGAAGAAAAUGACAAAAUGGAAGAGCAAGAUGCAGUCUCAGUCCUCCAUCCCACUGAGAACAAACAGGGAAAUGGAACCCACUGGAAAUUGCACAACUGAACUUUCUGAAAUGAUAGCAACUGAAGUAAAUAAAAAACUCCAUGAAGCUAUGAGGAAAUCAGAUCAGAAAUAAUCUCUCAAGUAAAAAAGAAAUGACAAAUGUUAUCAAAGAAAUGCUGAGUUAUCUAAAGAAGAUCUAGGUAAAAAAAAAUAGAGGAUACAUAAGAAAACGAUGGAAACCUUUGAAUGAACAAUACAAGGCAGAAUUAGAUUGCAUGAAAAGGAAUAUUCAGGAAAUUAAAAAUUCUAACUCAAGCAGGCAACACUGCCUGAAUGAAGCUGCACUGAAGAUAGACUCUCAGACCUUGAAGGCAGAAUGUAAGCUUAUGAUCACAAAAGAAAAGAUCUCUCCGAAAUAACAAGCAACCAGGAAACAACAGUUCAACAGCUGCAAAAUGAUGCAAAGAGAAACAAUAUAAGACUGAUAGGUUUUUAAAAAAGAGAGGUCAACACAAAUGAUAUAAGAUAAAGUAAUAAUAGCAAACAAUUUUCCAAGCAUGAGAAAACAAUCUGCUAUAGAGAUAAGUGAGGCAUAUAGAACCCUAAUUAGCCAUAACUAAAAUAAAUCUUCAUGCAGAUAUACAACAAAUAGGAUCCCUGAAACUUAGCACAAGAACAGAAUGCUAAAACCUGUCACAUAAAAGAAACAGAUCACCUUUGAAGGAAAGCUGAUCAGAAUCACAUCAGAUUUCUCAACAUAAACCUUCUAGUUUUUUGACUUGGAGUGAAGCAUUUCAACUUCUAAAAGAAAAAAACUUCCAAUCCAGAUUGAUGUACCCUGAAAAAAUAUCUUUCAAAAUUGAUGGAAAAAUAAGAUACUUUCAUGACAAAGAACAACUGAAGAAAUUCAUGAUCAUCAAACCAACACUACAAAGAGUACCUAAAGAUAUUCUAGAAAGAGACAAAGAUGAUUACAGUUCUAAGAACAACAGCACAAUGAAACCACCAAGCAGGGCAAACACUGCUUGCCCUGCAGAAAAAUAACAUUACAAUUAAGUCAGUACAUAUCAGUUAUACCUAUCAGUGUAAAUGGCCUCAACUCACCAAUAAAAAGAAACAUACUGGCAGAUGGAUUAUGAAACAAAACCCAACAAUAUGCUGGGUACAGGAAACAUACUUAACUCAAAACAGUACUCAUAGACUAAAACUCAAAGGAUGGAAAACAAUACUCCAUGUGACAGAAACCUAGAAAAAAGCAAGGGUAGCUAUUCUGUUUGCAGACAAUGUGAACUUUAAGCCAAAAAUGAUCAAAAGAGCUAAAGAAGGUCACUACAUAUUUGUUCGGGGGAAACUACAAAAGGAAGAGAUUAAAAUAAUAAAUAUAAAUGCACCAAAUAUGUGAGCACCCAACUAUGCAAGACAAAUCUUAAUAGACGUGAAAAAUCAAAUAAGCAAUAAUGUACUUAAAUGGGGAACCUUAACAUCCCAUUGGCACAAAGCGACAGAUCAACCAAAUAAAAACUCAGCAAAGAAACAACAGAACUGAAUCAAAAUUGUGAACAAAUGGACUAAGCAUACAUGACAGACUGUUCCAUCCAACAAGAGUAAAAUACACAUUCUUGUUAGUUGUUCUCAAAAUUAUAUAUUAGCAUACAGGACAUGCUUAACUAAAUGCAAAGAAAUUGAAAUAAUCCCAUGCAUAUUAUCUGACUAUAGUGCAAUAAAAUUGGAAAUUAAUGACAAAACACCCAUAUGAACCCCAUAUGGCAAAUAAACAUAUGUAAGAAUGUUCAACAUCACUGGCCAUUCAAUAAAUGCAAAUUAAAACAACACCAAGAUUCCAUCUCACUCCAGAAAGAAUGGCCAAGAUCAAGAUAUCAACUAAUAACAAAUGCUGGAGAGGUGUGGGGGAAAAGGAACUCUUCACAGUUGGUGGGAGUGUGGGCUGGUGCAACCACUGUGGAAAUCAGUGUGGAGAUUCUUCAAAAAGCUAGGAUUAGCGAUUCCAUUUGAUCCAGCUAUCCCAUUUCUGAGCAUUUCCCCAGAAGAACUGAAAACAUCAUACCACAUUCAUGCAUGUGAUCCCAUGUUCAUAACAACACAAUUUGUAAUAGGCAAGUCUUGGAAACAACUCAAAUGCCCAUCAACUGAGAAAUGGAUAAAAAAAAAAGAUGUGGUAUUUUUAUACAAUGGAAUACUACUCAGACAUAAAGAAAGAUUGUAUCAAGGCUUUUAUAAGUAAUUGGGUGCCGGUCGAGACCAUACUCAUAAGUGAAAUAAGUCAGACUCACGUGUAAAUACCAUACUAUCUCCCUAGUAUACGAAAAUGAAACAGCAAGUAAGAUCCAAAAUCUACAAUAAAUAUUCUGUAUGGGUAAGAAACUGCUCAAAGAGGAAAAGGAGGAAUAAAGGAAUAUGUAUGUAUGUAUAUAUAUAUAUAUAUAUAUAUAUAUAUAUAUAUAUACUAGCUAAGAUGAACAUGAUACUAAUUCUAUUAGUUCUCAGAAAACAAAAGUUAACACUCAUAUGAUCAGAGUUUUGCAUGCGUGUAUGCGGUAAUCUUAGCAACUCUUGAAGGUAACAAUAUGAAAUAUAACAACCAUUGUUAAAUUCCUGUCAUCUUGUUUUGAAAGCCUAUGUUGUUAUUGUUUUGUGUUUGUUGUUUGUGUGUUUAUCUUUUUUGCUUUUUGCUUUUCUUUUCUAUGUUCUUUUAAAUAAAAAAGGAGUGAUUUUUUUUCCCUCUCACUUUUCCUGCUCUAUUAAGUCAGUCCUAGUUAACUGUCAAACAGACACAAUGGAAACAAAUUCUGCCCUGAUCAAGCCUCAGUUUUCACCUGUCCCUUCUGAGCUGUUCACAUAUCUCUCAGAUGGCUCCAGUCACGUAACUAAAGGAAAUAAGCUCCCACUUAUUCUAUUUUAUAGUUAGUAAAAUAUUAGAGGUCCUCCUCUAAAGGAGGAUAGACAUCAUCACAACCCUCCCUAAAUCUGCACUUUCUGGGGUUAAAAAGUCAGCCAGUCUCAGGUUGAAACUGUUUUAAAACUUGCUUUUGAAUUACACACCUACAAAUUUUUCUUUAUAAAAAGAGUUUAUUUAGCCCUUUCAACAUAUCAGAUACUAGUAGUAGUCUAGAGAUGAUUUAAGCAUAUGGGAGGAUGUACAUAUCUUCCAUGCAAAUACUGUAUUUUACGUAAGAGACUUGAGUACCUGUGGAUUCUGGUGCCUAUUAGGGUCUAGGAUUCAGUCUCAGAUACCAAGGGAAAAUUGUACUUUAUUUAGGUCUAAAAAAUGUACUAGGAAGCACCAUAAAGCAUCAGAGAAAUCAGUCUGACAGUUUCCCCAAAAGUUUGACUGUGAGUCACAUUUUUAAAGAACUGGCAUGGCUCCUCCGAUGCUUCCCCUAUGGCGCUUCAUUCACCUCCCUGACUUUCCCUCAGACAUGCUGGCUGCUGUGGCUUGUAUCUACACGUCUCCCCAAGGCCUCAAGAGGUCACAGGUGGGGCCUUUUAGAGGUGGCUGGGUCUCAGGCAUGUGAUACUAGAAUUAAGGAUAUGAUCUUGGGCUUGAGUGUGUGACACUGAGAUUAAGGAGGGCCACCCUAGGUGUGGGUGGCAUAUCCCAAAAGGCAACUAGCCCGGACUGGAUAAAAGCAAGAGGCAGGCAGCUGCUGAGACUCCUGCUGCCGCCGCCGCCAUUGCUUGCUGCUUACUGCUUUCUGCCUCCCCUGCUUUGGCAUGGAUUGUUUUCUUCUUUGAUGACUCUCUGUCAUAUCCUGCUGCCUUGGAGCCAGCCCAAAGUGGACUGCAAACUGGCAGCCAAAAUAAACCUUUCCUGCUUUAACUUUGGGUGUUAAGUAUUUUGUCUCAGUGGUGAAAAAAAAAAAGAAAUUAAGACUCCGGGCUUAUGUGUUCCCCUGAAAUGCACCUGCAGACUUCAGUCUCUGUCUCAUGAAAGCACAAAGCAUUUAUGCUUCAGGAUAACUGUCACAUAAUUUUAUCCUAUUUUAUGUAUAUAAUUAGUUUCAGCUCUAUUCCUAUACAAUUUAAAGCCUAAUAGUUUCUAAGUAACUGUCUCAGAAAUUCUUCAAGAACACACAAAGAAGGAACAUCUACUCUUACAGUGCUGGAAUAGAAUUAGUAACUGGGGAAUUGGUACUUUGUUGGGAGCCGCGGCCGACACCGGUCGCCUUACUUGGCGGACGUAGGGCCUGUGGGUGGGAGCGGAGCCUGAGCUAGAUUGCCCCUCCCAUCGAGUGAGUCAAGUUGGCGCCUGCUUCCUGCCCCCUGAUUGCGCUGGCGACUUAAACAACCCGCUCUGUAAGAUAGUCUGCCUAGCAACAACUGAUGUUAGCCAGUCAGCCCGCAUCGCGCGCUUUGAACUGAUUGGCCACUGUUACCCUAUAAAAGUAAAUGCCUCUCCCGCCACAAGAGAGAAGCACAGAGGAAGCACAGAGAGAGACAGAGAAAGUCCACCGGCGAGAAAGGGCUGGUGACAGAGCGGAGGCCUCGCGGGGCCCACGCGGAGACAAAUAAAGGCAAGGUUGCACACCGCCAGACUUUGUUGUGUGUCUUUCCUGCCGGCCGGGAGCGACCCCGACAUUUGGUGACCCGCACGGGGACUGAUCAACCCCGAGACACGGCGGUGGUGUGCAACGCUCCAGCGUGGUGCUGCCGGACAGGAACCGGGACGAAAACCACUGUGGGUCCCAGAGAGGUUGACGCGACAAGUCCCUCGACUGAAGAUCAGGCCUGUUCCACCAGAGGCCAACCGCAGACCCAACAACAAGAUGAGCCCUAAAAGAACUGCAGGACAAUCCCUUUUUGGGGAGCCUGGAAUGGCUUGCUCCCCUAUGUUUUACCAUUGUUAGGUCCCCUGUGCUCCUUGCUUUUGCUCUUACUUAUAGGACCAUGCUUGCUCCGAUGGGUCACAUCAUUUAUUAAUGGGCGCCUUGCGGCGGCCCGGCGUCAAGUACGCCUGGUUGCCCAUGCGGCCCUGGCAGCAGCCCGUGAUGGGCACAAUGACCCCCAGGCUUACGCAUGGCUCGCUCGACUGGCCUACGACUGGGUCUAGGUGUGGCGGGUCUUCCGCACUCCUUCCCUAUUGACAGUACACAGCAGGGUAGGUGAGUCAAUGACGGGUAAGAGCGUGCCUCCCCAGCACGACUCGACCUAAGCCAGGCCCUACCCCAUGGCGCACGAAAGCCGCUGGAUUACUAGAAUCUGCCCAGAUCUAGAUGCCUCUCCGAGGGGAUCACACGGAGGGGCAUGAGUGCAUGCCUAUGUGCAUCCAGGUUCCGUCCAGUUCACUCCUGGCCCUGGAAAAAGGACGAGGGUCUCAAGGCCUUGGCGGACCCGGGGGCGGCCGACCAGGGUCCAAGCCAAGGGCCUACGGUGGGCCUCAACACAGGGCAUAAGCCUCUGCACUCGAUCCAGGGCGGGCUGCGAUGCAUACAUUCAUUCAAAGUAAAUAAAAUAGGGGGAGAUGUUGGGAGCCGCGGCCGACACCGGUCGCCUUGCUUGGCGGACGUAGGGCCUGUGGGUGGGAGCGGAGCCUGAGCUAGAUUGCCCCUCCCAUCGAGUGAGUCAAGUUGGCGCCUGCUUCCUGCCCCCUGAUUGCGCUGGCGACUUAAACAACCCGCUCUGUAAGAUAGUCUGCCUAGCAACAACUGAUGUUAGCCAAUCAGCCCGCAUCGCGCGCUUUGAACUGAUUGGCCACUGUUACCCUAUAAAAGUAAAUGCCUCUCCCGCCACAAGAGAGAAGCACAGAGGAAGCACAGAGAGAGACAGAGAAAGUCCACCGGCGAGAAAGGGCUGGUGACAGAGCGGAGGCCUCGCGGGGCCCACGCGGAGACAAAUAAAGGCAAGGUUGCACACCGCCA
Long non-coding RNA from Cavia porcellus (domestic guinea pig), 11572 nucleotides. RefSeq lists it as uncharacterized. The transcript has 2 exons. The record is from RefSeq and is a predicted model, not a curated record. Lineage: Eukaryota; Metazoa; Chordata; Mammalia; Rodentia; Caviidae.